Small nucleolar RNA from Heterocephalus glaber (naked mole-rat), 148 nucleotides. Ensembl annotates it as small nucleolar RNA, H/ACA box 79B. The record is from Ensembl. Lineage: Eukaryota; Metazoa; Chordata; Mammalia; Rodentia; Bathyergidae.
UGAUGACUGUUCCUCUCACUGCUAGGAGCCUUAAGCAGUGGGAUUUUGGUCCAUCAGAUAUAAAAGAUGACUUGUCUUCACUCAGAGCACCAUGAGGACAGCUUGGCUGUCUACUAGUGCCUUCUGAUUUUUGCAGAGUGAAACAAUU